This 497-nucleotide long non-coding RNA is filed under the name Brassica rapa (field mustard). RNAcentral describes it as "long non-coding RNA (BRAP_LNC005600)". Lineage: Eukaryota; Viridiplantae; Streptophyta; Magnoliopsida; Brassicales; Brassicaceae. The record is from RNAcentral.
GCGACAAACAAACGUACAAUUAAGAAAACUGAUAAAACGGACAGAGAUUUAUUCAGACCGAACUCGGUGCUUAAGACAAAACCGCCUCCUUAAGAUUUCGUGUAUUCUAAUCCUUUUCCCGGUCAACAAACAAAAAAAAAAACUAAACUCCACGACAUCGUUUCAAAAGAAACUGAAGGUUACGCGCGAAGUAGUUAGCGCGUAUAGGUAAAAAACAAACAGAGGAUUAUUUGCCUCGUCUCUCUCUCUCUCUCUCUCUCUCUCUCUCUCUCUCUCUCUCUCUCUCUCUCUCUCUCGAUUUUUCCGUCAAAAUAGAAUCGAAGAGGAAGAGAGGAUAAAAGAAAACAAAAACAAGAAAGUACAAUUUUUUUUCAGAUACAGAACUUCUUCUUCUAAAUCCUCUGUUUUAUUUCUUCUUCUAUGUUUCAUAUAAAUAAAUUGUUGGAACUCGUUUUUGACAAAAUAGUUUUAGAUCAUUUGUGGUAAGUUUCCGAGCG